Long non-coding RNA from Poeciliopsis prolifica (blackstripe livebearer), 1087 nucleotides. RefSeq lists it as uncharacterized. The transcript is spliced from 7 exons. NCBI's taxonomy places the organism in Eukaryota, Metazoa, Chordata, Actinopteri, Cyprinodontiformes, Poeciliidae. The record is from RefSeq and is a predicted model, not a curated record.
AACAAAACGUGCGUCACCAUUGGAUACAGGGAGAAGGAAGAAGUUUUUGCGUAGAUUGCUCGCGAAAAAAGGCGACUGGGGAGUAUGACGCUCGGAAAACGUUGGAGCAGCUUGGGGGCGGCCGGGACAGAAGAGAGAGGAGAUCUAUGAUACAUGAAGCUGAGCUAAGCUAAACUAGCUGGCAACUUCAACGCACUCAAUGUUUUCCGAGCGCUCUCGGUGUUUUCCGUUGGUGACUUUCAGCGCACUCAUUGUGUAUGGGAAAUUUCAACGCUCUCAAUGUUUUCUCCAAAAAGGCCUGCAGCAGUGUUUUUCCCCUUUGGAGGUGUUGAAGUGCAGCGGGUGCUGAGGUCUCCAGGGCAUCUGAGAUUAGAAAAAGCAACCUCACUGCUACACCCCCACCCAGUUGUGUGCCAGCCCACUCCAUAGUGAAAAACUUCAUCUCUCCAGGCGGCCUAAGAUGGAUGUUACUGGGUUACAUGAAGAGCACAAUGACCCUGGCUUCUGAGACAUCAUUUAUCCUACACAGACCCAUGCAGAUGCAUGCAUGUAAUCCCUCUGAAUGACUGAAUCCAGAGGAGUAUAGAGGAAGUCCUUCUGAUUGGGGGAAAUACCCAUGGACCAACCUGACAAAAUCUUAACAACUGCCAUGAAGAAUUUGCCAUAACAGAGGUGGACUUGCUCGUGUGCUUCAUUGUCCUGCCGCAAAAGACUAGCACACUUUACAUAUAGAGCACAAACUGAUGCCCAGUUAGUUUCAUACCAGAUGUAAUGAGAAGCUCAAUUUCACAGCCUUCUUCAAAAUAUUAAAGAUCCUGGCAGCCUGCGCAGUGUGUUCCCCAUCUUUUUUGCCCAGUGACCGCCAGGGAAAAGCACCAACCCCCCUGUCAUCCUGUGACAAAGUUAUAGAAAACAUAUAAUUAUAGUUAAGAUGUAAUUAAUGACAAUUAGUGCUUUGGAUAUUAUUUUUUGUGACCACCUGGUCCUGAUGUUAUUGUGUUUGGUUAUCUGAAACUUUUCAGUGUGCAUUCUACAGUGUCAACGAAAUGCAUCUUACACUAUAGAAAUUACAUAAUAAUAUGCAAUA